This 127-nucleotide small RNA is filed under the name Marmota monax (woodchuck). The record is from RNAcentral. Lineage: Eukaryota; Metazoa; Chordata; Mammalia; Rodentia; Sciuridae.
GCUGGGCACAGUGGUGCCUGCCUGUAAUCCCAGCAGCUCAGGAGGCUGAGACAGGAGGAUGGCAAAUUCAAGACCAGCCUCAGCAACUUAGUGAGGCCUUAAGCAACUUAGUGAGACUCUGCCUCAA